CGGGCUGGGGUCGCCCCUGCUCAGCUCUGUGCGUCGUGGGAAACUCUGACUCCCUUUAAGGGGGACACUCGUCAUCUUUGUCACGGCUUGUGUUCAGGGGGAGGGCAGGACGGAAGGGGGAAGCUGGGAAGAUGUCCCAAGUUCACGGUGAUCUGGAGCGGAAUUCUGGGGCCUGUUUUGACCUUUGGGUUUGUCCUGAUGUGCAGGGGAGCUGGGCGUUCGUUCCCCCCUGCCCCCAGUCGGUCCUGGGUCCCGGUGCUGGGCGGCCCCCACAGCAUGUUCCCUGGAGAAGUAAAGAGCUACUGAAGCUAGGGGUCGGGGGGCACAGAGGUGGGUAAAAGGUCCCAGAGACCAGGGUGCAGGCCCGACCGUGCCCCAAGCCCAUCACCUCUGCUAGUUGUAAGAUGAGUAGAGUGGGGAGCACGCAGUGCCCACCCCACGGGACACGGUGGGAACUGCGUGACAUCAGAGCUGGCCUGUCUGAUGCACUUUCUCAUCGCCGAAAUAUUUUCUCCUUCUGGGCGACGGCCACCUUAUCCAUCUAGGGUCUGCUGCACCUGCUGUGUGUCACAUACACCCUUCUUGGGAGAAGUCAGCGGGGGGCACAGCCGUGACACUGUCCUGGGGCUGGGGACAUUCACUUCCUCUCCCGAAGGGCGUGCUGACCUUGGCCUCGCUGACUCUGGGGCCCGGGGGCAUCUGAGCAGGAUCUGGGAGGCCUCCGUGAUCCCAGAGCUUCUGGGUGCGUGGAUGCCACGUGACCGGGACGCUGUUGACUCUGCGGGUCCCAUGGUGUGCUUGGCAAACAGAGGGAUUUACCCAAGGCCACCCUGUCCCCACCUGCCAGGUCGGGAGCUGGCGUGCACUCGGUGCCUUGGGUUCGCCCAGAGCACCCACCUGGAGACGCUGACCGCUCAGGUGAGCAAAAUGCCUGCUCAGGAACCUGUCCCUUCUCCCUCCCCGAGUUCAUGGCUGCUUCCCCCUGGGACCUCGCUCCAGAUGCAGACGGGUGUGUCCAGGCAGGUGCCUCCUGAACACCCCUGAGGACUUUCUGCAACAUUCUGGAAGCCCUUGGCAAGUGGCCACAUCUUCCAGAAUGCCCUGUGUGCUUCCUGCCUCCAUGCUGGGCUCCUGCUAAGUUCUCACAUAAAGAAGAAAUUCAGGAAGGGGCGUCAGGUGGCCGGCAGUCCCGGAGGCCCCCGAGCCUUCUCCCUGACCAGGAACCUGCGGGGGGACUGCACGCUUUCCGGGGGGUCGGUGCCCAGACAGGCUGAGGCUCCAGGUCAGCCACGAGCCCGC
Long non-coding RNA from Neofelis nebulosa (Clouded leopard), 1299 nucleotides. RefSeq lists it as uncharacterized. The transcript has 3 exons. The record is from RefSeq and is a predicted model, not a curated record. Lineage: Eukaryota; Metazoa; Chordata; Mammalia; Carnivora; Felidae.